CACGCAGGCGGUUCGAUAAGUUGGAUGUGAAAGCUCCUGGCUUAACUGGGAGAGGUCGUUCAAUACUAUCGGACUUGAGGAUGAGAGAGGGAGGUGGAAUUCCGGGUGUAGUGGUGGAAUGCGUAGAUAUUCGGAGGAACACCAGUGGCGAAAGCGGCCUCCUGGCUCAUAACUGACGCUCAUGUGCGAAAAGCUAGGGUAGCAAACG
This 208-nucleotide ribosomal RNA is filed under the name uncultured Anaerolineaceae bacterium. Its description in RNAcentral is "partial 16S ribosomal RNA". It matches the Rfam family "Bacterial small subunit ribosomal RNA", at positions 568 to 774 of the family's 1533-position model. The record is from RNAcentral. Lineage: Bacteria; Bacillati; Chloroflexota; Anaerolineae; Anaerolineales; Anaerolineaceae.